GGGCCCCUAGCUCAGUUGGGAGAGCGCCUGCUUCGCAUGCAGGAGGUCGUCGGUUCAAAUCCGGUAGGGUCCA
RNAcentral lists this transfer RNA (73 nucleotides) under Levilactobacillus brevis. Its description in RNAcentral is "Lactobacillus brevis tRNA-Ala". It matches the Rfam family "tRNA". From Rfam's summary of the family: Transfer RNA (tRNA) molecules are approximately 80 nucleotides in length. Their secondary structure includes four short double-helical elements and three loops (D, anti-codon, and T loops). Lineage: Bacteria; Bacillati; Bacillota; Bacilli; Lactobacillales; Lactobacillaceae. The record is from RNAcentral.